UUAGGAAGCGGGCGAGUUACUGGAUGUCUGGGUGUUGGCGGAAGUGUGAUGGAUAAUUCGAGACAUCGGAAUACAGAGUAGGAGGAAGGCUGUAUAAACCGGCCCCGAGGACACAGGACCCAGCGAGCAAGUGAUGGGACCUGGGGGGAAGUACCCCCUGGUCAGGGGCAGCCGCAUGGUCACGUGAGCCAGGAGCAGGGAGGCCCGAGAGGAA
RNAcentral lists this long non-coding RNA (214 nucleotides) under Sus scrofa (pig). RNAcentral describes it as "lncRNA (ENSSSCG00070001822.1)". The record is from RNAcentral. Lineage: Eukaryota; Metazoa; Chordata; Mammalia; Artiodactyla; Suidae.